Molecule: ribosomal RNA, 505 nt
Filed under: uncultured bacterium
Lineage: Bacteria
Description: partial 16S ribosomal RNA
Rfam family: Bacterial small subunit ribosomal RNA
Source: RNAcentral
GACGAACGCUGGCGGCGUGCCUAAUACAUGCAAGUAGAACGCACAGUUUAUACCGUAGCUUGCUACACCAUAGACUGUGAGUUGUGAACGAGUGAGUAACGCGUAGGUAACCUGCCUGGUAGCGGGGGAUAACUAUUGGAAACGAUAGCUAAUACCGCAUAAUAUUCAUUAUUGCAUAAUAAUUAAUUGAAAGGUGCAAUUGCAUCACUACCAGAUGGACCUGCGGUGUAUUAGCUAGUAGGUGAGGUAACGGGUCACCUAGGCGAAGAGACAUAGCCGACCGGGCAGGGUGAUCGGCCACACUGGGACUGAGACACGGCCCAGACUCCUACGGGGAGCAGCAGUAGGGAAUCUUCGGCAAUGGACGAAAGGCUUACCGAGCAACGCCGCGUGAGUGAAUGAGGGUUUCGGAUCGUAAAGCUCUGUUGUAAGAGAAGAACGAGUGUGGGAGUGGAAAGUUCACACUGUGACGGUAUCUUACCAGAAAGGGACGGCUAACUACGUG